This 254-nucleotide ribosomal RNA is filed under the name uncultured bacterium. RNAcentral describes it as "partial 16S ribosomal RNA". It matches the Rfam family "Bacterial small subunit ribosomal RNA", at positions 524 to 776 of the family's 1533-position model. The record is from RNAcentral.
UACAGAGGUCUCAAGCGUUGUUCGGAUUCAUUGGGCGUAAAGGGUGCGUAGGCGGCGCGGUAAGUCGGGUGUGAAAUCUCGGGGCUUAACUCCGAAACUGCAUUCGAUACUGCCGUGCUUGAGGACUGGAGAGGAGACUGGAAUUUACGGUGUAGCGGUGAAAUGCGUAGAUAUCGUGAGGAAGACCCGUGGCGAAGGCGGAUCUCUGGACGGCUAACUGACGCUGAGGCGCGAAGGCCAGGGGAGCAAACGGG